GGAGCUCAUCGGUGAAAUUCUCAGUGGGCAAUGAAAAAGAAGAAGCAACGUGGUGACAUGUGAUUCUCAGAAACAUAAGAAGACAUGAGAUUCAGAUCACAGAUUUUUCCUUCUUCGUUUGUAGUAUGUAGCGACAACCCAUAUUCGCUGUCAUUGUCGCUCAUAGACCACUGCGGUUUCAGAUCCCAAACUAUUUACAAACCAACAAACUAAUUAUUUUUCUAUAUUUCUAAGGACUCAACAUAAAUCAAUUUCUUUACAUUGUCGUCCACUUUCUCC
Molecule: small RNA, 279 nt
Filed under: Vigna angularis var. angularis
Lineage: Eukaryota; Viridiplantae; Streptophyta; Magnoliopsida; Fabales; Fabaceae
Description: Non-protein coding transcript
Source: RNAcentral